UGGGGAAUCUUGGACAAUGGGCGAAAGCCUGAUCCAGCCAUUCCGCGUGAAUGAUGAAGGCCUUAGGGUUGUAAAAUUCUUUCAGCAGGGAAGAUAAUGACUGUACCUGCAGAAGAAGCCCCGGCUAACUCCGUGCCAGCAGCCGCGGUAAUACGGAGGGGGCUAGCGUUGUUCGGAAUUACUGGGCGUAAAGCGCGCGUAGGCGGACCAAUCAGUCAGAGGUGAAAGCCCGGGGCUCAACCUCGGAAUUGCCUUUGAUACUGUUGGUCUGGAGUCCGGGAGAGGUGUGUGGAAUUCCGAGUGUAGAGGUGAAAUUCGUAGAUAUUCGGAGGAACACCAGAGGCGAAGGCGACACACUGGACCGGUACUGACGCUGAGGUGCGAAAGCGUGGGGAGCAAACAGGAUUAGAUACCCCCGUAGUCC
Molecule: ribosomal RNA, 424 nt
Filed under: uncultured prokaryote
Description: bacterial SSU rRNA
Rfam family: Bacterial small subunit ribosomal RNA
Source: RNAcentral